ACAGGUAUCGUCUAGCGGUCCAAGACACCGCCCUUUCAAGGCGGAGAUCGCGGGUUCAAAUCCCGUUACCUGUACCA
RNAcentral lists this transfer RNA (77 nucleotides) under Roseibium sp. RKSG952. RNAcentral describes it as "tRNA-Glu". It matches the Rfam family "tRNA". From Rfam's summary of the family: Transfer RNA (tRNA) molecules are approximately 80 nucleotides in length. Their secondary structure includes four short double-helical elements and three loops (D, anti-codon, and T loops). Lineage: Bacteria; Pseudomonadati; Pseudomonadota; Alphaproteobacteria; Hyphomicrobiales; Stappiaceae. The record is from RNAcentral.